AUUGAACGCUGGCGGCAUGCUUUACACAUGCAAGUCGAACGGUAACAGCACUUCGGUGGCUGACGAGUGGCGAACGGGUGAGUAAUACAUCGGAACGUGCCUAGUAGUGGGGGAUAACUACUCGAAAGAGUAGCUAAUACCGCAUGAGAUCUAAGGAUGAAAGCAGGGGACCUUCGGGCCUUGCGCUACUAGAGCGGCUGAUGGCAGAUUAGGUAGUUGGUGGGAUAAAAGCUUACCAAGCCGACGAUCUGUAGCUGGUCUGAGAGGACGACCAGCCACACUGGGACUGAGACACGGCCCAGACUCCUACGGGAGGCAGCAGUGGGGAAUUUUGGACAAUGGGCGCAAGCCUGAUCCAGCAAUGCCGCGUGCAGGAUGAAGGCCUUCGGGUUGUAAACUGCUUUUGUACGGAACGAAAAGCCCUCUUCUAAUACAGGAGGGUCAUGACGGUACCGUAAGAAUAAGCACCGGCUAACUACGCG
This 482-nucleotide ribosomal RNA is filed under the name uncultured bacterium. Its description in RNAcentral is "partial 16S ribosomal RNA". It matches the Rfam family "Bacterial small subunit ribosomal RNA", at positions 30 to 507 of the family's 1533-position model. The record is from RNAcentral.